CCUACGGGUGGCAGCAGUGAGGAAUAUUGGUCAAUGGACGCAAGUCUGAACCAGCCAUGCCGCGUGCAGGAAGACGGCUCUAUGAGUUGUAAACUGCUUUUGUACGAGGGUAAACGCAGAUACGCGUAUCUGUCUGCAAGUAUCGUACGAAUAAGGAUCGGCUAACUCCGUGCCAGCAGCCGCGGUAAUACGGAGGAGUCAAGCGUUAUUCGGAUUUAUUGGGUUUAAAGGGUGCGUAGGCGGUCGGAGAAGUUAGAGGUUAAAUACAGAGGCUCAACUUGGGAAUUGCAUCUGAUACUGUUCGGCUAGAGAGUAGUAGCGGUAGGCGGAAUGUAUGGUGUAGCGGUGAAAUGCUUAGAGAUCAUACAGAACACCGAUUGCGAAGGCAGCUUACCAGGCUACUUCUGACGUUGAGGCACGAAAGCGUGGGGAGCAAACAGGAUUAGAUACCCCUGUAGUC
RNAcentral lists this ribosomal RNA (460 nucleotides) under uncultured bacterium. Its description in RNAcentral is "partial 16S ribosomal RNA". It matches the Rfam family "Bacterial small subunit ribosomal RNA", at positions 338 to 795 of the family's 1533-position model. The record is from RNAcentral.